Molecule: ribosomal RNA, 241 nt
Filed under: uncultured bacterium
Lineage: Bacteria
Description: partial 16S ribosomal RNA
Rfam family: Bacterial small subunit ribosomal RNA
Source: RNAcentral
UACGUAGGGUGCAAGCGUUGUCCGGAAUUAUUGGGCGUAAAGAGCUCGUAGGCGGUCUGUCGCGUCUGCCGUGAAAGUCCGGGGCUCAACUCCGGAUCUGCGGUGGGUACGGGCAGACUAGAGUGCAGUAGGGGAGACUGGAAUUCCUGGUGUAGCGGUGAAAUGCGCAGAGAUGUGGAGGAACACCGGUGGCGAAGGCGGUUCUCUGGGCCUGUACUGACGCUGAGGAGCGAAAGCGUGG